UUCCUCGUCGUCUAAUCGGUAGGACAGUGGAUUUUGAUUCCGCCAAUCUUGGUUCGAACCCAAGCGAGGAAGCCA
Molecule: transfer RNA, 75 nt
Filed under: Asaia sp. W19
Lineage: Bacteria; Pseudomonadati; Pseudomonadota; Alphaproteobacteria; Acetobacterales; Acetobacteraceae
Description: tRNA-Gln
Rfam family: tRNA
About the family: Transfer RNA (tRNA) molecules are approximately 80 nucleotides in length. Their secondary structure includes four short double-helical elements and three loops (D, anti-codon, and T loops).
Source: RNAcentral